UUCCAUUAGAAUGUUCAAAGCUACUGUUUUUAGGUGCCUCCCUGCUGUUGAAGAAGCAGACACAAGGACUGGAACACUGUGAAGGUUACAUGUUGGCUCAGCUUCAAGUUUCAUGACAGACUUUCAAUCAAUGACCCAAGAUGACCCUUUCUUUACAGGAAGCAAACUAAUAGGCUUUAGUGAUCUUUACCUGCACUCACUGAUUGUGAAGCAAACCAGAGAGGCCUAAAAAUGAGCAUCCAUAACUUUAUUCAUCUGCCUAUUGGAUAUAUAGGGGACCAGUCCUGUCAAAGCAAGGAGGGAAGGAAACUAUGCUCUUCAAAGUGAAAAGUCAUCCUGGAUUCUGCAAGAGGGAUGGAAGAUGGGAUCCUGAUUCUGCUGAGAAUGAGCACGUACCCUGAUUGAGCUACACAAUAGCUAUGCAGCAGCCUGACUAUGCAUGAUUUAUCCUAAUAUAGCUAGG
Long non-coding RNA from Gopherus evgoodei (Goodes thornscrub tortoise), 463 nucleotides. RefSeq lists it as uncharacterized. NCBI's taxonomy places the organism in Eukaryota, Metazoa, Chordata, Testudines, Testudinidae. The record is from RefSeq and is a predicted model, not a curated record. The transcript is spliced from 4 exons.